Molecule: ribosomal RNA, 408 nt
Filed under: uncultured bacterium
Lineage: Bacteria
Description: partial 16S ribosomal RNA
Rfam family: Bacterial small subunit ribosomal RNA
Source: RNAcentral
GACGAACGCUGGCGGCGUGCUUAACACAUGCAAGUCGAACGGAGUGGCGAACGGGUGAGUAUUACGUGAGUAACCUGCCCUCAACUGUGGGAUAAGCCUGGGAAACUGGGUCUAAUACUGCAUAGUUGGGGAUGGGCUCGCGGCCUAUCAGCUGGUUGGGGGGGGGAGGGCCUACCAAGGCGGGGCAGGGUAGCCGGCCUGAGAGGGUGGUCGGCCACAAUGGGACUGGGAUACGGCCCAGACUCCUACGGGGGGCAGAAGUGGGGGAUAUUGCACAAGGGGCGCAAGCCUGAGGCAGGGACGCCGCGUGAGGGAUGAAGUCUUUCGGGUUGGAAACCUCUUUCGGUACAGAACGGGUAUGUGCAGAAGAAGCGCCGGCUAACUACGUGCCAGCAGCCGCGGUAAUAC